RNAcentral lists this small nucleolar RNA (125 nucleotides) under Mus pahari (shrew mouse). RNAcentral's name for it is "predicted gene, 26085 (MGP_PahariEiJ_G0034001.1)". It matches the Rfam family "Small nucleolar RNA SNORA17". Rfam says of the family: snoRNA ACA 17 belongs to the H/ACA family of snoRNAs and is predicted to guide pseudouridylation of the 28S rRNA at positions U4659 and U4598. It shares the same host gene together with ACA43. The record is from RNAcentral. Lineage: Eukaryota; Metazoa; Chordata; Mammalia; Rodentia; Muridae.
CCUGCCUCUAGAAGGGUUGCAGGUGGCUGCUGUGCCACAUGCGCCGGAGUAUGUGGCCGAAAGAGGCUCUGCCUACACUCAGUGUUCUGAUCUAUGGACAUCUGAACAAUUAAUAGCCUAACAUU